Non-coding RNA from Gossypium hirsutum (cotton), 144 nucleotides. Lineage: Eukaryota; Viridiplantae; Streptophyta; Magnoliopsida; Malvales; Malvaceae. The record is from Rfam.
UUUUAAUAAUUUCAUCCAUUUCUACUGAUAAAAAUUGGCAUGACUGACAAAAUAACUAAAUAGUUACAUGUGACAUGCCAUAUGUACCUCAUUUUGACAUACAAAGACUAGUUUUAACAAUAGAAAUGGAUGAAAUUUUUAUCA